This 397-nucleotide ribosomal RNA is filed under the name uncultured bacterium. RNAcentral's name for it is "bacterial SSU rRNA". It matches the Rfam family "Bacterial small subunit ribosomal RNA", at positions 28 to 430 of the family's 1533-position model. The record is from RNAcentral.
GACGAACGCUGGCGGCGUGCUUAACACAUGCAAGUCGAGCGGUAAGGCCCUUUCGGGGGUACGACGAGCGGCGAACGGGUGAGUAACACGUGGGUGACCUGCCCUUAGCUCUGGGAUAAGCCUGGGAAACUGGGUCUAAUACCGGAUAUGACUCCAUGACGCAUGUUGUGGGGUGGAAAGCCUUGUGCGGCUAGGGAUGGGCCCGCGGCCUAUCAGCUUGUUGGUGGGGUGAUGGCCUACCAAGGCGACGACGGGUAGCCGGCCUGAGAGGGCGACCGGCCACACUGGGACUGAGACACGGCCCAGACUCCUACGGGAGGCAGCAGUGGGGAACCUUGCGCAAUGGGCGAAAGCCUGACGCAGCGACGCCGCGUGGGGAUGACGGCCUCGUGUAACU